UGAUCCUGGCUCAGGAUGAACGCUAGCGGCAGGCUUAACACAUGCAAGUCGAGGGGUAUAGUUCUUCGGAAUUAGAGACCGGCGCACGGGUGCGUAACGCGUAUGCAAUCUACCUUUUACAGAGGGAUAGCCCAGAGAAAUUUGGAUUAAUACCUCAUAGUAUAAUGACUUGGCAUCAAGACAUUAUUAAAGUCACAACGGUAAAAGAUGAGCAUGCGUCCCAUUAGCUAGUUGGUAAGGUAACGGCUUACCAAGGCUACGAUGGGUAGGGGUCCUGAGAGGGAGAUCCCCCACACUGGUACUGAGACACGGACCAGACUCCUACGGGAGGCAGCAGUGAGGAAUAUUGGACAAUGGGCGCAAGCCUGAUCCAGCCAUGCCGCGUGCAGGAUGACGGUCCUAUGGAUUGUAAACUGCUUUUAUACGAGAAGAAACACUACUUCGUGAAGUAGCUUG
RNAcentral lists this ribosomal RNA (456 nucleotides) under Flavobacterium sp. WB3.2-7. Its description in RNAcentral is "bacterial SSU rRNA". It matches the Rfam family "Bacterial small subunit ribosomal RNA", at positions 14 to 471 of the family's 1533-position model. Lineage: Bacteria; Pseudomonadati; Bacteroidota; Flavobacteriia; Flavobacteriales; Flavobacteriaceae. The record is from RNAcentral.